Long non-coding RNA from Branchiostoma belcheri (Belcher's lancelet), 1489 nucleotides. RefSeq lists it as uncharacterized. NCBI's taxonomy places the organism in Eukaryota, Metazoa, Chordata, Leptocardii, Amphioxiformes, Branchiostomatidae. The record is from RefSeq and is a predicted model, not a curated record. The transcript is spliced from 2 exons.
CUUUCGCAAUUACUAGUGCGCCUGCGCGGAAUUUGACGUUCGAUCCAGAAAUUGGAGAUAAACAGAGAGAUAAACAGAACCGCGGACGCCCUUGUGCCAAGCACCAUCAUGUCUGAAUUUCCAGCUUACACACGGCGUUACCGGUGGUGACCCGCCUUGGGCUGAGUUCCAACGAUGUUCUGGACCUAGUUUGCCAAAAAUAUUCUCUUCAAGGGGAUUUACGUGUUACUGUUCAUCAUGAAGCUGUGUGCAGUAGUGAAUUGCAGCAAUUCAACAUACCAUCUACUAGACAAAUGGACAUGCCAAAAACAUGGUACCAAACUUGGCUGCUGCGACUGCCCCGACUGCCCACCACCGUUCAAACUAUUCCCAUUCCCUACUGAGAAGAAAAGACCCGAUGCAAGGAGACGGUGGAACAAACUAAUAAACAAGAAAGACUCGGUUAGCAAUAAAAACUGGGUUAACAAGCCACAUGAUAGGGUUUGUUCUUGAUACUUUAUAGAUGGCAAACCCACAGCAGCACAUCCUGACCCCGUCCUACAUCUCGGCUACACAGGGCCUUCAUCUGACCAGAAGGUAACGCCAAAGCGACCACCUCCAUCAAAACGUGUUGCGGUUCCUGACCCUCAAAAAAAGAAGCCACGCACAUGUGCUAGUAUUGAUGAAGAUGAUGUUGUAAUGACUCCGGUGGAAAAGACAGAGCAUGACCACAGGUACACUUACAAAUGUGACUGCAGAGAAGAAUGUGACUGUCAGGGCUGUAGCUAUCACAGAGACUAUACCACCACAGUUCAAGAAGAAAUGUAGAAGAAUAAGAUGCAUACUAGCUUGACUGUACAGAGAUUUUUAUUGAGAGGCCCAGAUCUUUGGACUUACAAGCAUCAACAUGGUCAGAAUACAAGAAGCACAAUAUGCUAAAGAUUCUUAUAGGAAUAACUCCAAAUGGACACAUCUCAUUUGUGUCUAAGACGUAUGGCGGAAGAGCCUCUGAUGUGUUUAUCACACGAGAUAGCGGAUUCCUAGAUUUAGUAGAAGCGAAUGAUGUGAUUAUGGCUGACAGGGGCUUUCCUAUUCAGGAAGACCUCUUGCUUAGACGUGCUACUUUGGAAAUUCCACCUGCUGCACAGGGGAAUCGUCAGAUGACUAGGGACAAAGUAGGGAAAACAAAGAAAGUGGCUAACUUGAGAAUUCAUGUGCAACGGGCAAUCAAUAGAAUUAAGGACUUCAAAAUCCUCCAUUUCCCAUAACAUUGGUAUCAGCAGCAGAUGAUAUUGUCAAGGUCUGUGCUGCAUUAGUUAACCUGCAGCCAGGCCUGAUCAAGUAAACCUGGCAGUGUCAUUCAUACUAAUCAUAGUCUACAUCUCUGAGCUUACAUAUUCAUCAUCAUUUUUUUAGUAAUCAUUAUGUGCAAUGUAAGUCAUCAUUGCAUUGCAUAUACUGUACCAUACAUGAAGUGAGUGCUUGUUGUAAGGAUUGCCUUUCUACAUAG